AACGAACGCUGGCGGCAGGCUUAACACAUGCAAGUCGAACGGACGUAGCAAUACGUUAGUGGCAGACGGGUGAGUAACGCGUGGGAAUGUGCCCUUUAGUUCGGAAUAACACAGAGAAAUUUGUGCUAAUACCGGAUAAGCCCGAGAGGGGAAAGAUUUAUCGCUGAAGGAGCAGCCUGCGUCUGAUUAGCUAGUUGGUGAGGUAAUGGCUCACCAAGGCGACGAUCAGUAGCUGGUCUGAGAGGAUGAUCAGCCACACUGGGACUGAGACACGGCCCAGACUCCUACGGGAGGCAGCAGUGGGGAAUAUUGGACAAUGGGGGCAACCCUGAUCCAGCCAUGCCGCGUGAGUGAUGAAGGCCUUAGGGUUGUAAAACUCUUUUGUCCGGGAAGAUAAUGACUGUACCGGAAGAAUAAGCCCCGGCUAACUUCGUGCCAGCCGCCGCGGUAA
RNAcentral lists this ribosomal RNA (451 nucleotides) under uncultured bacterium. Its description in RNAcentral is "partial 16S ribosomal RNA". It matches the Rfam family "Bacterial small subunit ribosomal RNA", at positions 29 to 523 of the family's 1533-position model. The record is from RNAcentral.